RNAcentral lists this ribosomal RNA (616 nucleotides) under uncultured archaeon. RNAcentral's name for it is "bacterial SSU rRNA". It matches the Rfam family "Archaeal small subunit ribosomal RNA", at positions 40 to 679 of the family's 1478-position model. The record is from RNAcentral.
UCGAUUAGCCAUGCGAGUCGCGAGCCUUAGGGGCUCGGCAUACUGCUCAGUAACACGUGGAUAACCUGACCCUAUUGUCUGGAAUAACCUCGGGAAACUGAGUAACAAGGCCGGAUAGCCCACAAUGCCUGGAACGGUUUGUGGGUGAAGAUAGGAUGGGUCUGCGGCGUAUCAGGUUCGUCACGGGGUGUAAUGGACCUCCUAGCCAUCGACGCGUACGGGUGUUGGGAGACAUAGCCCGGAGAUGGAUUCUGAGACACGAAUCCAGACCCUACGGGGGUGCAGCAGGCGCGAAAACUUCCCACUGCAGGAAAUGGUGAUGAGGGAACUCCAAGGGCUUACCACUAUUGUGGUACCUUUCCUGGACUAUUAAUCCGCCUUGAAUAAGGGCUGGGAAAAGAACGGUGGCCAGCCGCUGCGGGUAAUACCGGCACUUCAGGGGGUCGCCCGUUUUUUUGGGCCCAAAACAUCCGUAACCGGGUUGGAAAACCGGGGGUAAAUCCACCGACUUAACGGGUUAAUUUUGCGAAACUUCCAAUAUAGGCCCGGAGAGGGUGGGGGUACUCUUGGGUAGGGAAAUCUCGGUCUCCUUAAGGACCCCGUGCGAAGCGCCCAC